Molecule: long non-coding RNA, 7852 nt
Filed under: Brassica napus (rape)
Lineage: Eukaryota; Viridiplantae; Streptophyta; Magnoliopsida; Brassicales; Brassicaceae
Description: long non-coding RNA (BNAP_LNC002157)
Source: RNAcentral
AGGUAAGAGUUUGAAGAAGUACAAACACAGACGAAAGAGAAAAUGUCUGAGAAAAAGGGAAGGAAAGAGGAAGUGGUGACCAGAGAGUACACCAUCAACCUCCACAGACGCCUUCAUAGCUGGUUAGCUUUCUUAAAAACCUUAAUCUCUUCUACGACUGUUCAUGUUGUAGCUGCCUGAUUGUUCAAGUACAUAGUGUUUGUAAUGUGAUCGUCUCUUCCUGCCAUAUUAUAGUUAGGAAUCUUCUUGGACUUCUUGUGGGUUAUUUAAUUAGUGUCUAAAGUUUUAUCCUUUUCUAAAUGUAAAUCAUAUGUUAGGCCUUAAAAAUAAAUCUUUUUCAAAUUCAUUACAUUCAUAAAAAAUGUUGUUUAUGAUAUGGUGAAAAUUAGUAGCAAGCUUCUUUGGCUUACUUUUCGAAACUCAGUUUUGCAAUUGAAUUCACAUUGAAAUGUUGUUUAUAAUAAUCAUAUUCCAUGUGUUCAAUCUUGUUUCAGCUCGCUAUUACUGUUUUGGUGUUUCUUGAAGCAUAAUAAGUAUAACAAACACUGAAUCUUGUUCUGGUUCGGAUUCAAUUUAACCAAAUAUGAUAGUGUUGAAAUGAAAAUGUGAAUUUCAUUUUAAGAUUAGGUUUUAUUUAUCUGCUGAUUGUUUUCUUGAGAUUUAAGGUUUCCUGCUAAUACAUAAUUAAUUUUGUAACAGCACCUUUAAGAAGAAGGCACCAAAGGCCAUUAAGGAGAUCAGGAAGUUUGCAGAGAAAGCCAUGGGGACAAAGGACGUUAGAGUAGACGUGAAGUUGAACAAGCAGAUAUGGAGCAGAGGUAUCAGAGGUCCCCCGAGGAGGAUUAGGGUCCGUGUUGCACGUAAGAGAAAUGACGAUGAAGACGCAAAGGAAGAGUUUUUCUCGCUUGUCACUGUUGCUGAAAUCCCUGCCGAAGGACUCAGUGGACUCGGCACUAAGGUCAUCGAUGAGGAGGAUUGAGAGGAGAGGACUAGUCUGUCACUUAGACAAGUUUUGGUGUUUUUCUUUUAAUUUCUCGUUUUUUUUCAUUCAACAAGUCACAGAUGCAGUUUAUUGGAAAGACUCAUUUUCUAGAUCUUACGAUGAAUCUUUUUAUCUUCUGGAUUUUUUUCUUGAAAUCUCACAUUUUUAAGACGGUCCUAGUGAUAAUCAAGGUGAACCUUAGUUGUCUAUGCAAUCAAUUGAACCUAACAUUUCGUUAAACAUAUAAAUGUCAAAAAAAAAAAACAUAUAAAUGUCAAAUGAAAUAAACUUUAUGUAAUUCAAGAUACGUUCAUAGACAAGUCCGAAUCAAAAAAAUGUUUUCACUUUUCCGUAAUAAAGGAAAACAGAAGGACUCGAAAAUCAGUUCCAUGUGAUGUCAGCGUACCUUUUGAACGAAGACAUCCAUCACGCCAGGCCAGCUCUAGUUCGUUUCGCGUAUAAAAAGAAAAAGACGUCGACAGCAGGAUUCGAACCUGCGCGGGCAAAGCCCAAUUGAUUUCGAGUCAAUCUCCUUAACCACUCGGACAUAUCGACUUUUUGUAUGAUUCUCUCCUUUGACUACCUAUGAUAGUAUUGACCACAUCUGACGCUUCAAAUUAUAGAAAACCAAAAUUCUAUAAAGGCCACAACAUUUGUUUCAACUUUUCUAAGUGAUAAUAUUAUGUAAUAUGUGUUUAUGUGGCUAUCGGUCAAAAAGCUUCUUCCGCCCCCCGGUCUUGAAAUAUAAUUAAGUACUUACAUUUUUCCGGUUCGUGAAACUUAAUUUCUCCAGAUAACCGAACAAAACCAGUUCCAUGUCAUCGUAAAAUAUCCAAAUCGUUCAUUAAGCAACGUAUAAUGUAAAAUUAACCGGAACUGGUUCACAAAACCAGACCGAGCAGCAACAUAUAUAUAAAAAACAUAAAAAUGAGUUUUGUGCAAAGGUAAUCUUCUUAAAGGUCAGCUCUUCCAGGAUAGCGAGGGAAGGGAAUAACGUCUCUGAUGUUGUCCAUUCCUGUCGCAAACAGAACCAUACGCUCGAACCCAAGUCCGAACCCUGAAUGCUUCGCUGUUCCGUAACGUCUCAAGUCCAAGUACCACUCGUAUGGCUCCACUGGUAGUCCCAUCUCCUCAAUUCUGUUCAUACCAACAAAAAAAAAACACAAUCAAAGAAACAUCCAACAUUAAACAAAUUAAUUUCACUUUCACCAACCUUUCCAUGAUAACGUCAAUCCUUUCUUCCCUUUGGCUUCCACCAAUGAGUUCUCCAACCUAAUUAAAAAAGACGCCAUCAAUGUAUACUCUUCCAUGAUUAAAUGAUUCAACUUUACCUUUGGAACGAGGACAUCCAUGGCAGCAACGGUCUUCCCAUCAUCAUUAAGCCUCAUGUAGAAAGCCUUGAUUCCUUUCGGGUAGUUGUAAACAAUCAGAGGCUUCUGAAACACAACCUCUGUCAAGUACCUAUAAGAUAUGAGACAAGACAACAUUAGUAACGUUUUUUCUUGCAUUUUAAGUUGAAAAAUAGUUUUUUAACCUUUCGUGCUCAGAUGCUAAGUCGAUCCCCCACUCCACUGGGUUAACAAACUCCUUCCCUUUCCCCACAGCUUCCUCAAGCAGCUCUAUCGCUUUGGUGUACGUUAACCUACCAAACGGAGUCGACGCAACCAGCUUCAGCCUAUCGAUACACCGGCCAUUAGCUCCAUGUCAUCGUACCGCUUCUCGAGCAGCCACUUGCACAUGUACCUCACGUACGCCUCCGCGCAGUUCAUAUCGUCCUCUAGAUCGGCGAAAGCUAACUCAGGCUCCACCAUCCAGAACUCGGCGAGAUGUCUCGACGUGUGAGAGUUCUCCGCUCGAAAAGUAGGACCGAACGUGUACACGUCGCUCAGACCGCAAGCGUAGGUUUCCACUUGUAAUUGACCUGAGACCGUCAAGAAAGCUUGACGGCCGAAGAAAUCUUGAGUAUAAUCAAUCUUUCCAUCGAGUUUAGGCAAUCCAGGUUUGAGCCUUGACCUCUCUUCGGUCCUGGAUAAGCUCGCUUUUGCUUCGUUGAGUUCAGCAACGGAGGCUGUGAUCGUUUCCUUGCUUGCUUUAGCGGAUUUGAGCUGCGCUACGGCUUCGCCUCUCGCCUUGACGAUGAGUCUGGCGGCUUCGACGUCGGCCUCGGUGGGUGGAGGGUUUUCGAUGAGGUCUCUCUCCAGCUUCUCGGUGUGGCUGAUGAGAGUUGUUACUUGGAACAUCUCUCCAGCUCCUUCGCAGUCGCUUGUUGUGAUGAUUGGGGUUUGAAUGUAGAGGAAACCUUCUUCGUCGAAGAAUGUGUGUGUGGCUAUAGCGAGUGCGUGUCGGAUUCUUGCAAUUGCUGAGAUCUGAAAAACACAGGGAAACAAAAAACAGGACAAUUCACUUAAACCUAACUUUCUGAUCAAGUAAUCAUUUUUCGAAUAAGGCUGUAAAUGUAACCAUCGUCACUCAACCGUAAAGACGAUUAAGAGAUCUGAAACCACAAGGAAGCAAAAACAGGAGACUCUACUUAAACCUAACUGAAAUCAAAUAACUUUCUGAUCAAGUAAUCAUUUUAGACUAAGGAUGCAAAGAAUCUGUAAUCAUCAAUGAAACUGAGGCCAACAAAGACAGACACUCCACUCAAACCUAAUUGAAAUCAAAUAACUUUCUGAUCAAGUAAUCAUUUUCCACUAAGGCUGCAAAGAAUAGGUAAUCAUGAGCGUCACUGAGGCUAGCAAAAACAGGACACACCGCUCAAACCUAAUACUAUAAUCAAAUAACUUUCUGAUCAAGUAAUAGUUUUUUUCGAUUAGGGCUGUAAAUGAAUCUCUAGUAAUCGUCACUGAGGCUACGAAAGCUAGAAGAAUCUCAAUAACUAAACCCUAAACCCAUGAACACUCCACUCAACUCAAACCUAACUUUCUGAUCAAGAAAUCAUUUUUUGAUUAGAUCUGUACAUAAUCUCAAUAACUAAACCAAUCCCAUAACAUAUUCGAACAAAGUAAGUGAUCUUUAUUACCGAAUUGGUCCUAGAACGAAGAUGAGGAAACUCUCUCAACCUCUCAAGAGUCAGCUUCGUCUUAGGAAUCGGGUAAGUAGCAGUAUCAACCGUCCCCACAUCAAUCACCUCCACAACACUAAGCUCAACCUUCUGCUUCGUCCCUUUACCUUCGGGAGGAAUCUUCAAGCACCCAUCGACGGUCACGCAAGUCCCCGUCGCAACCAGCUUGGUGAGAUCUGAAACCGAAGCGUCCACCAUAACCUGAAGAUUCGCAGGGCACGAUCCGUCGUUAACCUCGAGGAAAGCGAAAGCGCCUUUCCCUUGCUCCCUCCCCGUUUUGACCCACCCGCUGAUUCGGACCUUUUGACCCGCGAGUCCGGCUCCGCCGUCGGGUCGGCCCAGAAUCGAGCGGAUGCGGACUCGGUCUGAGAACCGCGCUUUUUGCACUGUUGAAGAUGAGAUUCCAUCGCUGGAUAUGGAUACGGCGGGUACUUGAUGUGCCGGUGGUGGAACCUCGUCGGCCAUGAGUUUGGGGGCGCUGGAGACAGAACCCUAGAACAGCUAAGCAAGAACAUAACGUGAAGGGGUAUGAUUGGAAAUUAACACCCCGCGGAUUCUAGUGGUUGUGGUUUGUAAUUUCGUAUCAUAAGAUUCUUAAACAAUUAGUUUACUAAUCUUUCCACCUCCAUAUAAAAUAUUCGUAAGAUAAUCAAAUUACUAUAGCUGGUUAAUGUUUCGUUUUUUUUUAAUAAAUUCUUGUAUUUGUUUAUGAUUUGUAUAUUAUAUAAAUAAAUAAAAUAUGAUGUUGAGUUCUAUUAUAUUAUCUUCGGUGUUCAAAAAAGAAGAAGAUAAUAUGAUUUCAAAUAUGAUAGUUAGGUCGGUAACAUUGUAGAACAAUUGUUUAAAAUAUUUUAAGUUGGUUAGCAAUUUUCACACCUGCACAAAAAAAAAAUGAAGAGAAUCAAACAACUCGAAUAAACAAAAGACUCACCCAAUAUCUAACGUACCUGGCCAUCGUGACCACGUAACGUUGUAUUCAAUUAUGAUGCAUCUUAUUUUUUUCCCUCAGGAUAAUAAAAUUUAAGAAGUUUCAAGGUGUAUUGGGACGUCGUCAAAAGUCAACCACAUGCCUCCAUAGGACUUCCAAAAUAACAGAAUAAUUUCCCAGGCAUCACGGUCAUCGUAUCAGUAAGAGAACGAUAUUAAUUCUCCCUUAUCAUUUAUUAGAAACAUUUUUGUUGUCAUCUUCUUCUUGACUUUUCCAACCAAAAUACAUCCUCCCGUCUGUUCUUUUUUUUUCUGGUCAACACACUCUUGAUCAUUUAUGGGUGAAACAAGAUCCAUGAUCACGUUCUUCUUGUUGGUGACCUUCCUACAGAUCAUCUUCCUAGCUCACGGAGCAGCAGGAGAGACGACCACAGAGUUCAUUUUUCAAGGCUUUAAAGUAAACCAAUCAAAGCUUCAAUUAGAAGAAGAUGCAACCAUCACGCCCAACGGACUACUAAGGCUAACCAAUCGAAACUCAGACCGCGCGGGAACGGCUUUUUACAACAAACCGGUUAGACUGCUCGACAAUAACUCCACGGUUCGUUCUUUUAGCACUUCCUUCAUCUUUGUCAUCAUCCCUUCAAGCUCAAACAACGGAGGUUUCGGGUUUACAUUCACACUAUCCCCAACCCCAAACCGUCCAGACGCGGAGACCGCGCAGUACUUGGGUCUUCUCAACGAAGACGACGACGGUGAUCCGGAUAAUCACGUAUUCGCAGUGGAGUUCGACACGGUUCAAGGAUACAAAGACAGCACAGAUCGAAUAGGCAACCACAUCGGUCUAAAUUUCAACAGUCUCUCUUCACAAAUUGUGGGCUUUACUGCUAUUUAUAAGUUCUAUCGUUACCCCGACAGGUUAAGGAUGCGACUCAGCCAGGUAUAAAAAUAUAUACCUCAAUGAUCUCAGUUCUUUUUGCAUUCUUUUGAGUUGACUUGUUGCGCUGAUUCUUCGUUUUGAUUCCAGAUCCUGGUCCUGCCUUCCUUCCAAGGAAAAGGAUUUGGAAGCUACCUCAUGGAGAUUGUAAACAAAAUGGCCGUAUCAGAAAACGUUUACGAUCUAACAGUGGAAGAGCCAUCCGAAAAGUUCCAGCACAUCCGCACUUGCAUAGACAUAAACCGCUUGCUCGCUUUCGAUCCAAUCAAACCGGCCAUCGAUUCAGCUGUUGAGACUCUCACAAAAGGAAAGCUAUCGAAGAAAGCUCAGAUACCUCGCUUCACUCCACCUUCGGAUGCCGUCGAGAAGGUCCGUGAAGCUCUGAAGAUCAACAAGAAACAGUUCCUCAAAUGCUGGGAGAUCUUGAUAUAUCUCGCGCUUGAUCCUAUCGACAAAUACAUGGAGGAUUACGCAUGUGUCAUCACGAACCAUGUGAGAAUCGAUAUUCUUGGAAAAGAUAUAGAGGCUCCAAAGAAGCAGGUGGUGGAUGUUCCAACGACGUUCGAAGCUGAAGCAUCGUUUGUGGUUUUCAAGUGUGUGAAUGGAGAAGAAGCUAAUAACAGCAAUGUUCAAGUGGAUGAAAACAAACCGGAUCAAGAGCAGCAGCUGAAGCAAUUGGUUGAAGAAAGGAUUCGUGAGAUCAAGUUGGUUGCUGAGAAAGUCUCUAGAAAAUGAGAAUCUGAGUUGAAUAAAAACUUUGAGAGAGAUAUUUAUCAGAAGCUUUUUUGUUGAGUGUUCAAACUCUGUGGUCUUUAAAAAGACAAAUCUGUUUGUAUUCUCUUUGUACCGGUUUGUUACGGAGGUUUGAGUAAACAGUGUAGUUCCGGUUUAGCGGUUUCGUUCGGUUAUGCAACUAUUAGCACAAUUUACAUUCAUACCCGUAGUAAAUGUUUGAGGGCAAUUUCUUAAGUUUUCCUGUAGUGUAGCUGUUGAGUUACGUGCUGGGCCUUUAAUGGGCUCAAAACUUCUAAGGGCGUGAGAGGUUAAUGCUACAUGCUAACUAUAAUGGCACACACACUCAGCCCACUAAAGCCCAUAUAAAUCAUCUAGGUUUAGUUCAGUGUAGCAUAUAAAAUGCUUACUUCUCCCCCUUCUACGCCUUUCUGUCUGUCGACGUUCUUCAAGCCGCAAAGGUACUCUCUCUCGAGCUCAAUUCUUAGUUCUAUGAUCGUUAUAAUCUAGCAGUUUACAGAUCUGUUUAGUUUCCCGAUAAGUGAAUCUACUUAUAAGUGGUAUUUGAUAGGUAAGAGUUUGAAGAAGUACAAACACAGACGAAAGAGAAAAUGUCUGAGAAAAAGGGAAGGAAAGAGGAAGUGGUGACCAGAGAGUACACCAUCAACCUCCACAGACGCCUUCAUAGCUGGUUAGCUUUCUUAAAAACCUUAAUCUCUUCUACGACUGUUCAUGUUGUAGCUGCCUGAUUGUUCAAGUACAUAGUGUUUGUAAUGUGAUCGUCUCUUCCUGCCAUAUUAUAGUUAGGAAUCUUCUUGGACUUCUUGUGGGUUAUUUAAUUAGUGUCUAAAGUUUUAUCCUUUUCUAAAUGUAAAUCAUAUGUUAGGCCUUAAAAAUAAAUCUUUUUCAAAUUCAUUACAUUCAUAAAAAAUGUUGUUUAUGAUAUGGUGAAAAUUAGUAGCAAGCUUCUUUGGCUUACUUUUCGAAACUCAGUUUUGCAAUUGAAUUCACAUUGAAAUGUUGUUUAUAAUAAUCAUAUUCCAUGUGUUCAAUCUUGUUUCAGCUCGCUAUUACUGUUUUGGUGUUUCUUGAAGCAUAAUAAGUAUAACAAACACUGAAUCUUGUUCUGGUUCGGAUUCAAUUUAACCAAAUAUGAUAGUGUUGAAAUGAAAAUGUGAAUUUCAUUUUAAGAUUAGGUUUUAUUUAUCUGCUG